Gopherus evgoodei (Goodes thornscrub tortoise) is the source of this 827-nucleotide long non-coding RNA. RefSeq lists it as uncharacterized. NCBI's taxonomy places the organism in Eukaryota, Metazoa, Chordata, Testudines, Testudinidae. The record is from RefSeq and is a predicted model, not a curated record. The transcript is spliced from 7 exons.
GUCUUGCCAAGCAUGAUGAUGAGUGAUGGUGAUGCCUUACAGAAGUCUAGGUGCCAGAGCUCUGUGUCCUUUCAGACCUCUACAUCUGCUUGAAUAUUGGCUGAGGAAUUGAGGCCGCGUUCGGCAGCAGAAAAAAUGGUUCAUAUAAUGGGUGGGGCCAUCAUGACUGGUAGAGAGAGCUGGAGCUUCCCAGUGGAGCACAACAGGGCAGAGACACAAAGGCCUAUUUAAGAGCAGGAUUCGGUGUGCAGAGAAUGAUGUGCAUGAGACAGAGGACAUGAGGGACUCCGCCCAGUCCAAAAUGCUGACAAACUUGGACUCAAAGAAAGAAAGGAUGAGAUCAGACAUGGAAAAAUUACCUGGGCCCAACCCACUGUGUAAGCAUAACUGAAUCCUGAGAGCAGAAGACAUGGCAAGAAUAUGCUACAUUUAGCAGUCUGAUCCUAUGAGUACUUAUGCAUUGCUGAUACCAUCUACAUGCUGGGCCAAAAAAGAGCCAAGAAAUGCAUAUGGUGAAAACUAGGAAGAGCUUUUAUUAAGAUAAGUACGUCAUAUUGAGGACUUCCACGGUGUAAUACCACCUCUGGCAACUCCGUUGAACAGGAACUUUCAAGGUGUGUGAACCAGGAAGGAGCCAUGCCUUGAGGCAGAGACUCACCAGGUUGGGAUGCAGGGUACAUCCUCUAUUCUGUGAGAAGAGGUAUGAAGUGUCUGGAAGAGAGAUCGGCUGGCUCAUCACGAGCUGUGACAGGACCUUCAAGAGUAGGGAAAAGGAGAAACAGCAUAAGGAAGGUCUCUGUCUCAGGGGAGGAGGAGAGCAUCACCUA